UCCCUGGUGGCCCAGUGGUUAGGGUGCUGUGCUUUCACUACAUGGAGCAUGGGUUCGAUCCCUGGUUGGGGAA
Molecule: transfer RNA, 73 nt
Filed under: Ovis aries (sheep)
Lineage: Eukaryota; Metazoa; Chordata; Mammalia; Artiodactyla; Bovidae
Rfam family: tRNA
About the family: Transfer RNA (tRNA) molecules are approximately 80 nucleotides in length. Their secondary structure includes four short double-helical elements and three loops (D, anti-codon, and T loops).
Source: Rfam by way of RNAcentral